AAGUCGAACGAUGAAGCGGUGCUUGCACCGUGGAUUAGUGGCGAACGGGUGAGUAAUACGUGAGUGACCUACCUUUGACUCUGGGAUAAGCCUGGGAAACUGGGUCUAAUACCGGAUACGACCAAUCUCUGCAUGGGGUGUUGGUGGAAAGCGUUAUGGAGUGGUUUUAGAUGGGCUCACGGCCUAUCAGCUUGUUGGUGAGGUAAUGGCUUACCAAGGCGACGACGGGUAGCCGGCCUGAGAGGGUGACCGGCCACACUGGGACUGAGACACGGCCCAGACUCCUACGGGAGGCAGCAGUGGGGAAUAUUGCACAAUGGGCGCAAGCCUGAUGCAGCGACGCCGCGUGAGGGAUGACGGCCUUCGGGUUGUAAACCUCUGUUAGCAUCGAAGAAGCGAAAGUGACGGUAGGUGCAGAGAAAGCGCCGGCUAACUACGUGCCAGCAGCCGCGGUAAUACGUAGGGCGCGAGCGUUGUCCGGAAUUAUUGGGCGUAAAGAGCUUGUAGGCGGUUGGUCGCGUCUGCUGUGAAAGGCCGGGGCUUAACUCCGGUUUUGCAGUGGGUACGGGCUAACUAGAGUGCAGUAGGGGAGACUGGAAUUCCUGGUGUAGCGGUGGAAUGCACAGAUAUCAGGAGGAACACCGAUGGCGAAGGCAGGUCUCUG
Molecule: ribosomal RNA, 664 nt
Filed under: uncultured Actinomycetes bacterium
Lineage: Bacteria; Bacillati; Actinomycetota; Actinomycetes
Description: bacterial SSU rRNA
Rfam family: Bacterial small subunit ribosomal RNA
Source: RNAcentral